RNAcentral lists this ribosomal RNA (378 nucleotides) under Salmonella enterica. RNAcentral describes it as "partial 23S ribosomal RNA". It matches the Rfam family "Bacterial large subunit ribosomal RNA", at positions 165 to 581 of the family's 2925-position model. The record is from RNAcentral. Lineage: Bacteria; Pseudomonadati; Pseudomonadota; Gammaproteobacteria; Enterobacterales; Enterobacteriaceae.
CAUAGGUUAAUGAGGCGAACCGGGGGAACUGAAACAUCUAAGUACCCCGAGGAAAAGAAAUCAACCGAGAUUCCCCCAGUAGCGGCGAGCGAACGGGGAGGAGCCCAGAGCCUGAAUCAGCAUGUGUGUUAGUGGAAGCGUCUGGAAAGGCGCGCGAUACAGGGUGACAGCCCCGUACACAAAAGCGCAUGUGCUGUGAGCUCGAUGAGUAGGGCGGGACACGUGGUAUCCUGUCUGAAUAUGGGGGGACCAUCCUCCAAGGCUAAAUACUCCUGACUGACCGAUAGUGAACCAGUACCGUGAGGGAAAGGCGAAAAGAACCCCGGCGAGGGGAGUGAAAAAGAACCUGAAACCGUGUACGUACAAGCAGUGGGAGCA